This is a long non-coding RNA of Octodon degus (degu), 470 nucleotides long. RefSeq lists it as uncharacterized. The record is from RefSeq and is a predicted model, not a curated record. NCBI's taxonomy places the organism in Eukaryota, Metazoa, Chordata, Mammalia, Rodentia, Octodontidae. The transcript has 4 exons.
ACACGCAGCCACCUGACUGUGGACGGCAACGUCUGAAACCAUGACCCAAGAGAAACCCAUCCUCCUGGAUGUUCCCGCUCUCAGGUGCUCCGGCACAGUGAUGGAAAGCUGGUUAGCAUCUCAUGUAAAUUCCCAAGAUGAUUGUCCGAUGAUAUGGUGGCAGAAUGUGGGUGAUUUGGGCAGAGAUGGUACAGCUUGCAAAGCCUAAGAUGCGUGCUGUCGGGCCCUUCCCAUGAAGUACUUGCAGACCCUGGCUUGCAGCAUUGAGUCCUCUGUGCAGCAAACGAAGAGUAAUAUCACGAGGCUUGACUUAGGAACCAGGACUGACCUUGGUCUUAGAAGGCCUUGCUCACCUAAAGUAGCAGGAAUGAAGAACAACAUUCUGGCUCUAAGUGGGCCAGGAGACUCGAGUUAACUUGAAUGUUAACAUAAAUCAGACCUGAUGGGGCCAGGGAUACAGCUCAGAGGCA